GGCAUCAUAACUCAGUAGGCUAGAGCAGUGGCUGUACUAAAGCCUUCCCUUUGCUGGCGUGGGUUCAAAUCUCACUGAGGCCA
This 83-nucleotide transfer RNA is filed under the name Schistocephalus solidus. It matches the Rfam family "tRNA". From Rfam's summary of the family: Transfer RNA (tRNA) molecules are approximately 80 nucleotides in length. Their secondary structure includes four short double-helical elements and three loops (D, anti-codon, and T loops). Further hydrogen bonds mediate the characteristic L-shaped molecular structure. tRNAs have two regions of fundamental functional importance: the anti-codon, which is responsible for specific mRNA codon recognition, and the 3' end, to which the tRNAs corresponding amino acid is attached (by aminoacyl-tRNA synthetases). tRNAs cope with the degeneracy of the genetic code in two manners: having more than one tRNA (with a specific anti-codon) for a particular amino acid; and 'wobble' base-pairing, i.e. permitting non-standard base-pairing at the 3rd anti-codon position. Lineage: Eukaryota; Metazoa; Platyhelminthes; Cestoda; Diphyllobothriidea; Diphyllobothriidae. The record is from Rfam by way of RNAcentral.